UGAUUUUCAAUUUUUAAAUUUUGAUUAAACGGUUCGAUUUUUUAUUUUUUAAAAAUAAAAUUCGGUUAAACCGAAAAUCCAAAAUUAUAUUAAUCACAUAUAUAUAUAUAUAUAUAUAUAUGAAAAUAAAAUUUUGUUAUAAUAUAUUUAAUAUAUAAAUAAUAAAUUAAUAAAUAUAUAACCCUAAUUCUCAAAACCGAAAUCAUAUCAGUAUAUCACAAUUCAUAGGCACAGCCGCAUAGGCACAACAACCGUUUUAUCACUUUUCACAGAACUCUUUCUUUACAAAUUACAACGACACCAGAGGCGGACGAUAGACCGCCGGUGACAACGAUGCAGACUCCCUUUCUUUACAACGACACCGGAGGCAGCGAUCUGUGACUCUGGUGUUUGUGUUUUUUGACCGGUGAGUCGGUGACCGAUAUCUACUGUGGAAUAGUCGUUUGAUGAAGUGUUCGAUGGGAAAUGGAUUGUUUCUGAAGAGGAGUAUUCAGGUGAGUUUAUUGCAUUUUCUGCUGGUAUGACCCAUGUUAAUCAUGUGGAGUUAUGUUUGGAAUCCUUGUUUUAAUGCACUUGAAAUGGGAAUCACCAGUGGAUGAAAGUUCAACCAGUUCAUUGAAGACGGCACCAGUAAUUUUGUUAUGUUACAUUAUUUCUUUUGAUUUGGGUGUUCUGAUGUAACGCUGUAUCUGCAACUUAACAAAUUAAUUAUUUCGUUGUUUCCAAAUUCGAUAGGACUGUUUUUUCAAAUUCAGAAAUCAUCGACUCACUGACUGAGUAAUAAUUGCCAAAUGUAACAAUUUCUUUUAUUGGGUCUCUGAUUCUGAUUGGUGUUGUCUGGUGAAAUGUUCCAAACAAAGAAUAUGAACAUUUGUAAAUGUUGUGAACUAUAAUGGCCACUGCAUUAGUAGGGCCGUUGUAUUUAGUCUAUGAUCAAAGAUCUAAUUAAAGCAACUCAUGCUCAUAACUGACAAGUUGGAAAAAUGUUUAGAUGUGGUGAUAAAGAUAGCAUGGGAAAAUACACCUAAUGAUCAUAUACAUUUCGUUACUAUUAAAGCUUUUGGCACAAGUAUACAAAUUAACCCCACAAAGUGCAGGUGUAUGGAAGGCAGAUGUACACAAGUGUUGACCCUUAAACUUGAAGGCAGAGAUUAUUUUCGAUGCACCUUGACUCCAAUGUUAAACUUGAAGGCAGAGAUUUGAAAGAAAUCAUUUUUUCAAAAAAAAGAAUCAUCAAUUUUAAAUGCUCGGUAAUGAAAAAGGGAGUCUCUCUACUUUAAUAUUUCAAAUCGAAAUAAAAAUUCGAAAUAACCGAACUGAAUUUGUAGAAAUCGAAACAAAUUGAUUUUUUUUCGGUUUGGUUAUGGUUGUCAGUUUUGUCAAUUUGAAAAUCGAUAAACCAAAUCGAUAUUAAACGUUCAGACCGAAGCCAG
RNAcentral lists this long non-coding RNA (1433 nucleotides) under Capsicum annuum. Its description in RNAcentral is "long non-coding RNA (CANN_LNC015929)". Lineage: Eukaryota; Viridiplantae; Streptophyta; Magnoliopsida; Solanales; Solanaceae. The record is from RNAcentral.